Delphinapterus leucas (beluga whale) is the source of this 3515-nucleotide RNA transcript. It is a transcript of the gene named component of oligomeric golgi complex 5, with no coding region annotated. The record is from RefSeq and is a predicted model, not a curated record. NCBI's taxonomy places the organism in Eukaryota, Metazoa, Chordata, Mammalia, Artiodactyla, Monodontidae.
GCCAUCUCCCCGGCACCUGCCAACAUGGAAAGAGGCGACGGCGGCCUCGGUCUGCCUGGCCGUCCAGCUCUGGGCUCCGGAGCGGCUGCAGCGACUGUCCGGGAGCUCCUGCAGGACGAGUGUUAUAGUGAUUUUUUAAAUGAAGACUUUGAUGUAAAAACUUAUACUUCUCGAUCUAUUCAUCAAGCUGUAAUUGCUGAACAGCUAGCAAAACUUGCCCAAGGAAUCAGUCAGUUGGAUAAAGAACUGCACUUACAGGUUGUUGCAAGACAUGAAGAUUUAUUGGCACAAGCAACUGGGAUUGAGUCUUUGGAAGGUGUCCUUCAGAUGAUGCAGACAAGAAUUGGGGCUUUACAGGGAGCUGUUGAUAGGAUGAAAGCAAAAAUUGUUGAGCCAUACAAUAAAAUAGUAGCCCGUACUGCUCAACUAGCAAGACUUCAGGUUGCCUGUGAUUUGCUUCGGAGAAUCAUUCGCAUCUUGUAUCUCAGUAAGAGACUCCAGGGACAACUGCAGGGGGGAAGUAGAGAGAUAACAAAAGCUGCUCAGAGUCUCAGUGAGCUUGAUUAUCUUUCUCAAGGAAUAGAUCUUGCUGGAAUAGAAGUAAUAGAAAAUGAUCUACUUUUUGUUGCGAGAGCUCGACUUGAAGUGGAAAAUCAAGCUAAGCGCCUCCUGGAGCAGGGUGUGGAGACUCAGAAUCCAACCCAGGUCGGAACAGCUCUUCAGGUUUUCCAUAAUCUUGGAACUUUGAAGGAUACUAUUACCAGUGUCGUGGAUGGAUAUUGUGCUGCUAUAGAAGAAAAUAUCCACAGUGCAUUAGACAUCAAAGUUUUGACUCAGCCUUCCCAGUCAGCUGUGAGAGGGGCACCUGGACGAUCUACCAUGCCAGCCCCAGGAAACACUGCAGCGUUUCGUGCUUCCCUUUGGACCAAUAUGGAGAAACUUGUGGAUCAUAUUUUUACUGUUUGUGGCCAGGUACAACAUCUGCAAAAAAUAUUAGCCAAGAAGAGAGACCCUGUCUCUCACAUUUGUUUCAUUGAAGAAAUAGUUAAGGAUGGACAUGCUGAAAUUUUAUACACGUUUUGGAAUUCAGUUACUCAGGCACUUUCUUCUCAGUUUCAGACAGCAACAAACUCUUCUAUGUUUUUGAAACAGGCAUUUGAAGGAGAAUACCCUAAAUUAUUGCGUCUUUAUAAUGACUUAUGGAAGCGUCUUCAACAAUACAGCCAAAGUAUUCAAGGAAAUUUUAAUUCCAGUGGAACUGCAGACCUCUAUGCUGACUUACAACACAUGGAAGAUGAUACACAAGACAUAUUCAUACCAAAGAAGCCAGAUUAUGAUCCCGGAAAGGCUUUGAAAGACUCACUACAACCCUAUGAGGCUGCUUAUCUAUCAAAAUCCUUAUCUCGACUCUUUGAUCCGAUCAACUUGGUUUUUCCCCCUGGUGGUCGUAAUCCUCCUUCUGCCGAUGAACUUGAAGGUAUCAUUAAAACUAUAGCAAGUGAACUAAAUGUAGCUGCUGUUGAUGCAGACCUCACAUUAGCUGUGUCAAAAAACGUGGCAAAGACCAUCCAGUUGUAUGGUGUAAAAUCAGAGCAGCUGCUCUCCACCCAAGGAGAUGCAAGUCAGGUGAUUGGACCUCUUACCGAAGGGCAGAGAAGAAAUGUGGCAGUAGUGAAUUCACUAUAUAAGUUGCACCAAUCGGUAACAAAGGUGGUUUCCAGUCAGAGCUCAUUCCCACCAGCAGCUGAGCAAACUAUAAUUUCAGCCCUAAAGGUGGUCCAUGUUCUUAUGGGAAAUGCUGUGCAGCCCUUGCUGACUUCCGUGGGAGAUGCUAUAGAGGCCAUCAUCAUCACUAUGCAUCAAGAAGAUUUUUCUGGGUCAUUACCCAGUUCAGGAAAGCCUGAUGUUCCCUGUUCUCUCUACAUGAAGGAGCUUCAAGGUUUUAUCGCCAGAGUUAUGAGUGACUACUUUAAACACUUUGAAUGCUUGGAUUUUGUCUUUGACAACACUGAAGCUAUUGCCCAAAGAGCCAUUGAACUCUUUAUCCGAAAUGCCAGUCUCAUAAGACCUCUUGGUGAAGGUGGGAAAAUGCGUCUUGCUGCUGAUUUUGCGCAGAUGGAGUUGGCUGUGGGUCCGUUCUGCAGAAGAGUAUCUGAUUUAGGAAAGUCCUAUCGAAUGCUGAGGUCAUUCAGACCACUGCUCUUCCAGACAAGUGAACACGUGGCCAGUAGCCCUGCACUGGGGGACAUUAUUCCAUUCAGCAUCAUUAUUCAGUUUUUGUUCACAAGAGCACCCCCUGAGCUGAGAUCCCCCUUCCAGAGGGCCGAGUGGUCCCACGCACGCUUCUCCCAGUGGCUGGAUGACCAUCCCUCUGAAAAGGACAGGCUCCUCCUCGUCAGAGUCACUUAUGGAGCUUUGAAAAAUCCACGUGUCAAGGCCACACCCUGACUGCCUCGGAAUCUCCCUGGGAGCCAGCAUCGGGAUUUCUUAAAGUGGCCCGCGGCUCCGCAGCACAGCUGGGGCUUCACAGCACAGUCGUCAAGUGCGAGCCCACCCCACUCCACUCCCCCUGCCGCCGAGGAAGGAAGCUGUGGGGGUCGUGGAGGAAGCCUCAGCCUGCCAGAUCCGGGAGCGGCGCCGAGUCCUCAAGUGUGGCGACCGGCGCCCCGGGGGAGCGCCCGGCCCUGCCAGUGGAUAAAGAGGAGGGUGGCCCGCGCCCCUGCUCUUCUUCCGUGCUGGCCGCUUGUCCUCUCAGCUCUGAGUAUCUGAGCGAAGAGUGGGGUGGGACGCGUGGUGAAGCUGUCACCGCCAGUGCGGCUUCUGGUUAAACGGCCCUCAGAAGAGGCCCCAGGUGUGGACGGGGGACUCCGCCGGGGCUGGUGUGGGGCUUUGCGGUGCCCUCCCCGAGUCCCGUUGACUCGCCAGCUGCAGCCCACUGGCUAGUACAGGAGUGCGCAGGGCUCAGUUGAUGGAACAGGGCGCACCUUUGUCCUCUAACGAGUUGCACUGAGCUCAUCUACAACAGUUGUCCUGCUAUGGGCACAUCACAAAUCUGCUUCCUUUUGCUUCUUUUUAAAAAUGUCUCCCGAGUGAUUUCAUCGGCAGUGCUGUUGCUGAGCCUAUAUUUAGCAACCGAAAACCGUGCUCAGAAAUGCUGUCAAGCUUUUUGAAUCAGGCCUGCGCAUCACGCCACGCAUGGCUGAUACCAGAGCCUUCGGUCCUGAGCAGGGAAUGAAGCCCUCCUCGGGGGCUCCAAACCCUGUGCUCCUGCUCCGGCCCAGGCUGCUAACAAAGCAGGAAGCUCUGUCCUAGAGAACGUCCUUUCUUACCUGUUAUUGCAAAACUGAUUUCAUCCCUGCAUACUGAAGCACCACUGGAUGAAUUUCUUGCCCCUGUAGAUAAACCUAGGGGGUGCCCUGGAAGCUUAUGUUCAAUCAGUUAAAAGCAGAGAAGGCAAAGAAUUUGCACCAGUUUAUCCCAUAAUGGUUCAGCUGCUUCAAAAAGCUAUGUCUGCU